AAUGGGGGCAACCCUGACGCAGCGACGCCGCGUGAGUGAGGAAGGCCUUCGGGUCGUAAAGCUCUGUCAAGAGGGAAGAAGUGCAUGGUGGUUAAUAUCUGUCAUGUUUGACGGUACCUCUAAAGGAAGCACCGGCUAACUCCGUGCCAGCAGCCGCGGUAAUACGGAGGGUGCAAGCGUUGUUCGGAAUCACUGGGCGUAAAGGGCGCGCAGGCGGCCUGAUCAGUCAGAUGUGAAAGCCCACGGCUUAACUGUGGAAGUGCAUUUGAAACUGUCAGGCUUGAGUACCAGAGGGGAAAGUGGAAUUCCCGGUGUAGAGGUGAAAUUCGUAGAUAUCGGGAGGAAUACCGGUGGCGAAGGCGACUUUCUGGCUGGAUACUGACGCUGAGGCGCGAAAGCGUGGGGAGCAAA
RNAcentral lists this ribosomal RNA (411 nucleotides) under uncultured bacterium. RNAcentral's name for it is "bacterial SSU rRNA". It matches the Rfam family "Bacterial small subunit ribosomal RNA", at positions 370 to 772 of the family's 1533-position model. The record is from RNAcentral.